Molecule: ribosomal RNA, 796 nt
Filed under: uncultured organism
Description: bacterial SSU rRNA
Rfam family: Bacterial small subunit ribosomal RNA
Source: RNAcentral
CGGCGUGCUUAACACAUGCAAGUCGAACGAGAAAUCUUUAGCUUGCUAGAGAAAGUAAAGUGGCGCACGGGUGAGUAACGCGUGGGUAAUCUGCCUCCGAAUCGGGGAUAGCAUUGCGAAAGCGAUGCUAAUACCGGAUAAAAUCUGGUUGGCUUCGGUGAACCGGAUCAAAGGUGGUCUCUUUAUAAAAGCUACCGUUUGGAGAUGAGCUCGCGUACCAUUAGCUAGUUGGUGAGGUAAAGGCUCACCAAGGCGACGAUGGUUAGCUGGUCUGAGAGGAUGAUCAGCCACACCGGAACUGGAACACGGUCCGGACUCCUACGGGAGGCAGCAGUGAGGAAUUUUGCGCAAUGGGUGAAACCCUGACGCAGCAACGCCGCGUGAGUGAUGAAGGCUUUCGGGUCGUAAAGCUCUGUCGGGUGGGAAGAACCCACCAAGUGUUAAGACCACUUGGUGCUGACGGUACCACCGAAGGAAGCACCGGCUAACUCCGUGCCAGCAGCCGCGGUAAUACGGGGGGUGCGAGCGUUAUUCGGAAUCAUUGGGCGUAAAGGGCGCGCAGGCGGUUUUGUAAGUCAGAUGUGAAAUCCCGGGGCUUAACCCCGGAAGUGCAUAUGAAACUAUGAGACUUGAGUAGGGGAGAGGGAAGCGGAAUUCCUGGUGUAACGGUGAACUGCGUAGAUAUCAGGAGGAACACCGGUGGCGAAGGCGGCUUCCUGGGACCAAUACUUGACGCUGAGGCGCGAAGGCGUAGGGAGCGAACAGGAUUAGAUACCCUGGUAGUCCACGCAGUAAA